UGGGCAGGCUUAGGCAGUUUGAGUGAAGGCCGGCCACGCCUCCUUAUUAUAUUACACUGAGAAUUCAGUCCUUGCUUGCUCAUUAAUGUGGAUAGUGUGAGUCAUCAGUCUGGCAGCCUGCAGUGUCUGUGAGGCCCCUCCCUCUGCUGGGGAAUCAUCACUCAGAGAGCCAUGGUCAGUGACCUCAGUAGACAGUAACAUGUCACUGUAAUACA
Bufo bufo (common toad) is the source of this 215-nucleotide long non-coding RNA. RefSeq lists it as uncharacterized. Lineage: Eukaryota; Metazoa; Chordata; Amphibia; Anura; Bufonidae. The record is from RefSeq and is a predicted model, not a curated record. The transcript is spliced from 3 exons.